GAUGAACGCUGGCGGCGUGCUUAACACAUGCAAGUCGAACGAUGAAGCCCAGCUUGCUGGGUGGAUUAGUGGCGAACGGGUGAGUAACACGUGAGUAACCUGCCCUUAACUCUGGGAUAAGCCUGGGAAACUGGGUCUAAUACCGGAUAGGAGCUUCAACCGCAUGGUGGGUGUUGGAAAGAUUUAUCGGUUUUGGAUGGACUCGCGGCCUAUCAGCUUCUUGGUGAGGUAAUGGCUCACCAAGGCGAUGACGGGUAGCCGGCCUGGGAGGGUGACCGGCCACACGGGGACUGAGACACGGCCCAGACUCCUACGGGAGGCAGCAGUGGGGAAUAUUGCACAAUGGGCGCAAGCCUGAUGCAGCGACGCCGCGUGAGGGAUGACGGCCUUCGGGUUGUAAACCUCUUUCAGUAGGGAAGAAGCGAAAGUGACGGUACCUGAAGAAGAAGCACCGGCUAACUACGUG
Molecule: ribosomal RNA, 466 nt
Filed under: uncultured bacterium
Lineage: Bacteria
Description: partial 16S ribosomal RNA
Rfam family: Bacterial small subunit ribosomal RNA
Source: RNAcentral